CAAUUAUGUCCUCUCCUAUAUGACCUAGCCUAAGGUGCCAUAGAUAUUUUUGAUUAAUCCUAUCUCUAGAUCUCUUAGAUCCUAUGGUAUUUUAUUUGCUCAUUAAAAUUAACAUUCACAUCCAGAUGCAAAUGAUAAAGUCUAUCAAUUAAAAAGGCAAGUGCAAGAACUUUAUUUUCAAAAUAAAUUAUACAUAAAUCUUUAUUAAAAUAGAAACUGUAAUUAUCCUGUACUAGCA
RNAcentral lists this long non-coding RNA (238 nucleotides) under Elaeis guineensis (African oil palm). RNAcentral's name for it is "long non-coding RNA (EGUI_LNC034493)". Lineage: Eukaryota; Viridiplantae; Streptophyta; Magnoliopsida; Arecales; Arecaceae. The record is from RNAcentral.